RNAcentral lists this ribosomal RNA (252 nucleotides) under uncultured bacterium. RNAcentral's name for it is "partial 16S ribosomal RNA". It matches the Rfam family "Bacterial small subunit ribosomal RNA", at positions 524 to 776 of the family's 1533-position model. The record is from RNAcentral.
UACGUAGGUGGCGAGCGUUAUCCGGAAUCAUUGGGCGUAAAGAGGGAGCAGGCGGCAGUGCAGGUCUGCGGUGAAAGCCCGAAGCUAAACUUCGGUAAGCCGUGGAAACCGCACAGCUAGAGAGCAUCAGAGGAUCGCGGAAUUCCAUGUGUAGCGGUGAAACGCGUAGAUAUAUGGAGGAACACCAGUGGCGAAGGCGGCGGUCUGGGGUGCAGCUGACGCUCAGUCCCGAAAGCGUGGGGAGCAAAUAGG